RNAcentral lists this unclassified non-coding RNA (531 nucleotides) under uncultured Bartonella sp. Its description in RNAcentral is "partial 16S-23S ribosomal RNA intergenic spacer". The stretch from base 102 to 175 matches the Rfam family "tRNA". The record is from RNAcentral. Lineage: Bacteria; Pseudomonadati; Pseudomonadota; Alphaproteobacteria; Hyphomicrobiales; Bartonellaceae.
AAAGCUCUUUGUUUUUUGAAAGGGUGCUUUUAUGAGAUAGAGAUUUUUUAGAUAAUGCUUUUUUAGAUAAUGCUGGGGAAGGUUUUCCGGUUUAUCUCGGAGGGCUUGUAGCUCAGUUGGUUAGAGCGCGCGCUUGAUAAGCGUGAGGUCGGAGGUUCAAGUCCUCCCAGGCCCACCAAUUUACCUAUCCAUUUGCCUUUAUCUGUUUAUUUGCCGAUUUAUCGGUCCAUUGAAUUUAAGUGUUGGUAGCAGUUUUAUAAUGAUGAGAAAUCAUGCUUAUAAAAGAACUCCUUAUAAAAGGCUUGUUUUUAAAAUGUGACGCUUAUCCAUUUCGCUUAGGCAAGAGAAACUUCAAGCGGUUCAAAUACAAAAGGCUUUAAGUUUUGCAAAACACUUUGAAUUUUGCAAAACACUUUGAAUUUUAAAGUGAUCCAAGUUCGUGAUCUCGAAUUUAAAAGUUUCGAAUGCUUUAUCCUUUUUUGGGGGCCGUAGCUCAGCUGGGAGAGCACCUGCUUUGCAAGCAGGGGGUCG